RNAcentral lists this transfer RNA (75 nucleotides) under Rhodopseudomonas sp. RNAcentral describes it as "tRNA-Thr". It matches the Rfam family "tRNA". From Rfam's summary of the family: Transfer RNA (tRNA) molecules are approximately 80 nucleotides in length. Their secondary structure includes four short double-helical elements and three loops (D, anti-codon, and T loops). Lineage: Bacteria; Pseudomonadati; Pseudomonadota; Alphaproteobacteria; Hyphomicrobiales; Nitrobacteraceae. RNAcentral also lists the same sequence under 24 other names. The record is from RNAcentral.
GCCGGCAUAGCUCAGCGGUAGAGCAGCGGUUUUGUAAACCGAAGGUCGGGAGUUCAAUCCUCUCUGCCGGCACCA